AGUGAACGCUGGCGGCAGGCCUAACACAUGCAAGUCGAGCGGCAGCGCGGUGGCAACCCUUGCGGCGAGCGGCGGACGGGUGAGGAAUUCGUCGGAAUCUGCCUUUUUGUGGGUGAUAACGUAGGGAAACUUACGCUAAUACCUCAUACGUCCUACGGGAGAAAGUGGGGGACCGCAAGGCUUCACGCAGAAAGAUGAGCCGACGACCGAUUAGCUAGUUGGUGGGGUAAAGGCCCACCAAGGCGACGAUCGGUAGGUGGUGUGAGAGGAUGAUCAGCCACACUGGGACUGAAACACGGCCAAGGCUACUACGGGAGGGAGCAGUGGGGAAUAUUGGGCAGUGGGGGCAAGCAUGACACAGCCAGGCCGAGUGUGUGACGACGGCGUUCGGGUUGUAAAGCACUUUUGUCCGGAAAGAACCCCCUGGAGCUAAUACCUUCGGGGGAUGACGGUACCGGAAGAAGAAGCACCGGCUAACUUCGUG
RNAcentral lists this ribosomal RNA (484 nucleotides) under uncultured bacterium. RNAcentral's name for it is "partial 16S ribosomal RNA". It matches the Rfam family "Bacterial small subunit ribosomal RNA", at positions 30 to 507 of the family's 1533-position model. The record is from RNAcentral.